AGUGAACGCUGGCGGUAGGCCUAACACAUGCAAGUCGAACGGCAGCACAGUAAGAGCUUGCUCUUACGGGUGGCGAGUGGCGGACGGGUGAGGAAUACAUCGGAAUCUACUUUUUCGUGGGGGAUAACGUAGGGAAACUUACGCUAAUACCGCAUACGCCCUACGGGUGAAAGCAGUGGAUCUUCGGACCUUGCGCGAUUGAAUGAGCGGAUGUCGGAUUAGCUAGUUGGCGGGGUAAAGGCCCACCAAGGCGACGAUCCGUAGCUGGUCUGAGAGGAUGAUCAGCCACACGGGAGCUGGAACACGGUCAAGACUCCUAAGAGAGGCAGCAGUGGGGAAUAUUGGACAAUGGGCGCAAGCCUGAUCCAGCCAGACCGCGUGGGUGAAGAAGGCCUUCGGGUUGUAAAGCCCUUUUGUUGGGAAAGAAAAGCAGCAGGUUAAGACCCAGCUGUUCUGACGGUACCCAAAGAAGAAGCACCGGCUAACUUCGUG
This 492-nucleotide ribosomal RNA is filed under the name uncultured bacterium. RNAcentral's name for it is "partial 16S ribosomal RNA". It matches the Rfam family "Bacterial small subunit ribosomal RNA", at positions 29 to 507 of the family's 1533-position model. The record is from RNAcentral.